AGAAUAGAAUAGAAUAGAAUAGAAUAGAAUGUUAAUUUACGCAAAUACAAUAUUAAGCAAAAUCCAUGCCGAAAUACGGAUGAUAAGUUUGGGCUAAAGCAAUCUAGCCGGAGAAUAUUCAUUUGAGCGUGCGCUUGUCAUCCCGACCGGUACCGUUAUUUCUCGUUAAGCAUCUGUCUUUUCUGACUGCUGCUAAAAGACAGAAAUCGAGCAUCGAGUGAAGGGUUCGCGAGCUGGUGUCCACACAAGAGCAGUGCGCGCGCGACAGAAACCCAGAAAUCAUUAGAGCAGAAGCUGAUUCCCGUGCACGUGCACGUGCCCGCGGCUGUGGACACACUAAAAAGAAAAACGCAGCCCUUCAGUGAGAAAAUUAGAGAGGCACCUGAUGAUGGCGAGUUUGACAUGUGUUAAUUGCUCAACAGCUCUCCUCAUUAGGGAUUUCGGAAUUGCUGAAGUGAUGCGGGGAGGAGAGCUGAUGUCUGUCCGCAUCAAACGCGCUGCCUGCCGCCUACUACUGCAGCCUAUGCUUCCAGUGCCUGGCUCUCAUUUGCCCCGCAACAAUGAAUCGUGUCAUGUAUUGGGAUCCAUUCCUCUGAGAAGCCUCUUCAAGAGAAAAGGCCGAUCCGUGUAGGUGUGUUUCAUCGUCUGAUGAGGCAUAGGGUCUCCACAGGGUCACACACACCAUGACACGUCCGUCCCAUCACACACACAUGCACGUUACCCC
Carassius auratus (goldfish) is the source of this 724-nucleotide long non-coding RNA. RefSeq lists it as uncharacterized. The transcript has 3 exons. The record is from RefSeq and is a predicted model, not a curated record. Lineage: Eukaryota; Metazoa; Chordata; Actinopteri; Cypriniformes; Cyprinidae.